UUGGGAAUCUUGGACAUUGGGGGCAACCCUGAUCCAGCCAUGCCGCGUGAGUGAUGAAGGCCCUAGGGUCGUAAAGCUCUUUCGCCUGUGAAGAUAAUGACGGUAGCAGGUAAAGAAACCCCGGCUAACUCCGUGCCAGCAGCCGCGGUAAUACGGAGGGGGUUGGCGUUGUACGGAAUUACUGGGCGUAAAGCGCAUGUAGGCGGAUCUUUAAGUCGGGGGUGAAAUCCGGGGGCUCAACCCCGGAACUGCCUUCGAUACUGGGGAUCUUGAGGUCGAGAGAGGUGAGUGGAAUUCCGAGUGUAGAGGUGAAAUUCGUAGACAUUCGGAGGAACACCAGUGGCGAAGGCGGCUCACUGGCUCGAUACUGACGCUGAGAUGCGAAAGCGUGGGGAGCAAACAGGAUUAGAUACCCCCGUAGUCC
This 424-nucleotide ribosomal RNA is filed under the name uncultured prokaryote. RNAcentral's name for it is "bacterial SSU rRNA". It matches the Rfam family "Bacterial small subunit ribosomal RNA", at positions 355 to 796 of the family's 1533-position model. The record is from RNAcentral.